CUUUUCUUUUUUUUUUUUUUUUCCCGCAGUAAGUUCUGAAAAUCGCCUCCCAGAGGAGAUAACGCGUUCUCCUCUGUAACCCGUCCUUCCACGUCCCGGUGGUGGGGGGGGGGGUCCCGGUUCUCAUUCUUUCGGGGACCUGCAAGGAGCCCCGCCCGCAGGCUUUGAACCGAUUUCGGCUCCGCGUCCAGGAGCAGGCCCUACGUAGGGCCGGGGGAAUUCAGCCGGCAAAAAUGAGACGUCAACUAAGCGCCGUUUCAGUCCCAGAGCCAGGUCGUCCAUGGGGGUUUUCAAGCGUUUUCUCGAUGACUGAUUUUUCUAGAAGCGAAUGGAUUUUAUUCUCCCAGGUGUAAAGGCUACCUCCUGCUUCACACCCGGGUAACAUAAAAGACAGCGCUGGGACCGAAACUCGGGUCUCCUGGGUCCUGGUUGGCUGGAGAGAGGGGCAAUGAACGUCCCGAAAAGAAUUCUGUCUUUUCUCAAUAUCUGGGAGGACUCAUAACAGGGUAGAUAAUCAGGAUGGAUGUUUGGCAGGUGGGAAUCUUUGAGACGGUCUGUGCACACAAUUUUAACUCUACUUUUGCCAGUUUGGAGGACAUGAAAUUCCUGAUGAGUGUAUGUUAAAAGGGAAUAGAGAAGGUAAUAUACACAACGUUCUAAAAUAAUUGCUUUUCGUGGAGGCAAAGUGGCUAAGCAGUCCAAAGCGCUGGAUGAAGGCUCUAAUCUCUUGGGGUGUGGAGGUUCUAGCCUGUUUAGCCACAGAAGUCAUGAAACCACUAUGUGGUAUUUGUUAAAUAAUGAGUUUUGAUACUUAAAAUAAAAUGGAAUUAUUGGAGUGAA
Homo sapiens (human) is the source of this 840-nucleotide long non-coding RNA. RefSeq lists it as uncharacterized. The record is from RefSeq and is a predicted model, not a curated record. The transcript has 2 exons. Lineage: Eukaryota; Metazoa; Chordata; Mammalia; Primates; Hominidae.